Molecule: ribosomal RNA, 462 nt
Filed under: uncultured bacterium
Lineage: Bacteria
Description: partial 16S ribosomal RNA
Rfam family: Bacterial small subunit ribosomal RNA
Source: RNAcentral
GACGAACGCUGGCGGCGUGCUUAACACAUGCAAGUCGAGCGACGCUCUUCCUUCGGGGAGAUGACGGAGCGGCGAACGGGUGAGUAACACGUGGGCAACCUGCCCCUAGCUCUGGGACAACACCGGGAAACCGGUGCUAAUACCGGAUACGACAUCGAGCGGCAUCUCUCGAUGUGGAAAGUUUUUUCGGCUAGGGAUGGGCCCGCGGCCUAUCAGCUUGUUGGUGGGGUAAUGGCCCACCAAGGCGACGACGGGUAGCCGGCCUGAGAGGGCGACCGGCCUCACUGGGACUGAGACACGGCCCAGACUCCUACGGGAGGCAGCAGUGGGGAAUAUUGCGCAAUGGGCGAAAGCCUGACGCAGCGACGCCGCGUGAGGGAUGACGGCCUUCGGGUUGUAAACCUCUUUCAGCAGGGACGAAUUCAGACGGUACCUGCAGAAGAAGCACCGGCCAACUACGUG